Molecule: small nucleolar RNA, 108 nt
Filed under: Sorghum bicolor (sorghum)
Lineage: Eukaryota; Viridiplantae; Streptophyta; Magnoliopsida; Poales; Poaceae
Description: Plant small nucleolar RNA R71
Rfam family: Plant small nucleolar RNA R71
About the family: R71 is a member of the C/D box family of snoRNAs containing the C (UGAUGA) and D (CUGA) box motifs.
Source: Rfam by way of RNAcentral
UUCCAUGAUGAGGACAAUCUAAGAUGUAUCCUUGUAAACGCUCCCAUGCUUUUUGAAAUGGUUUAUGCUUUCUGCUGUUAAAAAUUGAUAAUCUUCCGUCUUAAGGCA